RNAcentral lists this unclassified non-coding RNA (253 nucleotides) under uncultured fungus. RNAcentral's name for it is "partial contains small subunit ribosomal RNA, internal transcribed spacer 1, and 5.8S ribosomal RNA". The stretch from base 1 to 73 matches the Rfam family "Eukaryotic small subunit ribosomal RNA", at positions 1759 to 1831 of the family's 1831-position model. Lineage: Eukaryota; Fungi. The record is from RNAcentral.
GCAAACUUGGUCAUUUAGAGGAAGUAAAAGUCGUAACAAGGUCUCCGUAGGUGAACCUGCGGAGGGAUCAUUAUUGAAUUUAGGUCCUUUGGGCCUUUAUCCUCAAAAUCUGUGGAAAGUGAAAAAGUGUUUCGGUGCCAACAGCACCGCCUUUUAACGCCGAGAAUUUAAUUUUGUCUGAAGAAACAUAAAAUGAAUAUAAAAAACUUUCAACAAAGGAUCUCUUGGCUCUUGCAUCGAUGAAGAACGCAGC